This 460-nucleotide ribosomal RNA is filed under the name uncultured bacterium. Its description in RNAcentral is "partial 16S ribosomal RNA". It matches the Rfam family "Bacterial small subunit ribosomal RNA", at positions 338 to 795 of the family's 1533-position model. The record is from RNAcentral.
CCUACGGGGGGCAGCAGUGAGGAAUAUUGGUCAAUGGACGGAAGUCUGAACCAGCCAUGCCGCGUGCAGGAAGACGGCACUAUGAGUUGUAAACUGCUUUUGUACAAGGGUAAACCUGAAUACGUGUAUUCAGCUGAAAGUACUGUACGAAUAAGGAUCGGCUAACUCCGUGCCAGCAGCCGCGGUAAUACGGAGGAUCCAAGCGUUAUCCGGAUUUAUUGGGUUUAAAGGGUGCGUAGGCGGAUUGUUAAGUUAGAGGUGAAAUGUCCGAGCUUAACUCGGGAACUGCCUCUAAUACUGUUGGUCUAGAGAGUAGAUGCGGUAGGCGGAAUGUAUGGUGUAGCGGUGAAAUGCUUAGAGAUCAUACAGAACACCGAUUGCGAAGGCAGCUUACCAAUCUAUAUCUGACGUUGAGGCACGAAAGCGUGGGGAGCAAACAGGAUUAGAUACCCGGGUAGUC